This 203-nucleotide unclassified non-coding RNA is filed under the name Hevea brasiliensis (rubber tree). The record is from RNAcentral. Lineage: Eukaryota; Viridiplantae; Streptophyta; Magnoliopsida; Malpighiales; Euphorbiaceae.
UGGGGGAUGUGGUUGGGAUUUGUGUUAUUGGGUUGUUGUUCUCGUAUUGUUAUUCGAGAAUCUGUGGUUGUGGGAGGAAAAAAGAUGAAUCCGGAUUUGGUUUUCAGAAGGGGGGAGGGAAAGGAAGGAAAGAGUGUUUAUGUUUUAGGAAGGAUGAGUCAGAGACGUUAUCGGAAAAUGUUGAACAAUAUGAUCUAGUGGCA